RNAcentral lists this ribosomal RNA (232 nucleotides) under uncultured Glomeromycotina. RNAcentral describes it as "partial 18S ribosomal RNA". The stretch from base 37 to 232 matches the Rfam family "Eukaryotic small subunit ribosomal RNA", at positions 684 to 882 of the family's 1831-position model. Lineage: Eukaryota; Fungi; Glomeromycota. The record is from RNAcentral.
GGAUCAAUUUAUUGGUCGUGCUAUUGUACGUACUGGUAUUAUUGAUUCCUACCUUCUGACGAACCAUGGUGUCAUUAAUUUGGUGUCUUGGGGAAUCAGGACUGUUACUUUGAAAAAUUAGAGUGUUUAAAGCAGGCUCACGCUUGAAUACAUUAGCAUGGAAUAACGAAAUAGGACGUUUGAUUCUAUUUUGUUGGUUUCUAGGAUCGACGUAAUGAUUAAUAGGGAUAGU